Tripterygium wilfordii is the source of this 948-nucleotide long non-coding RNA. RefSeq lists it as uncharacterized. The transcript is spliced from 3 exons. The record is from RefSeq and is a predicted model, not a curated record. Lineage: Eukaryota; Viridiplantae; Streptophyta; Magnoliopsida; Celastrales; Celastraceae.
GGACGAAAGGACAUUAAAAGGAUUUACUUUAUUUUUUUAUUACAGAAAAUGGGAUGGAAACUGGAGACGGCUCCAACCCGAUCAACUGCCAAUUUGGAGGAAGAGAUAAGUAUUGGGAUCAUUCAUGAACCGACUUGGCAGGUGGAAAAGGGUAAAAAAUAAGGAAAUUUGAAAAAACUUAGGCAGCUACGCCCCCCAAAUUCGUCUGAAGGCUGCUUCAAACUCUCUCAUAUACGUUUUACAAUUACACUACUUUCUUUCUACAAAAACCCUAGAUUUGAUUUGCUGUGUCUCCCUCACGUCUCCUCUCCUUCUCCCUCUCUCUUCUCUCUUCCAGCCGAACCAUCCUUCUUUCCCCUAACCUCAGAAGAUAAGACAACAACGACGGUUUUGUUGUGGAGAACUGAAGCCUGGAACUCUCGUUACAAACUUCAGCGGCACCAUCGCUGCUGCCGCGAGCAUUGAAAUGUGAUCCGCAGGACCGCCUCCGAUUCAUAAAUUUCGUCAAAUUUUGGCAUUCGGAUGCAUCCAUGGAGCAAAAUCUUCACUUUCACGCCAAGCGGUUUCCAGAUCCACCGUUUUGAAGACUGCCAAGGGCUUCGUUUCGUUAACGAGGCCAUUGAAAGGUGGAAUGCCUUCUUUUGCUGAAAUUGUUCGAGCCAACGAUGAAAUUCAGAGAAACUUCAUGGAGUAAACCAGUGAAAUGUGGCCAUCUUUCGGCUAAGUGGGUUGUAAGUAUAUAAUUCUUUUAUUUCUAAUUUAGUUUUUCUAUAUCUUUUGCAUACACAAUCAAUAUAUGAUAUUCCCUUUGAGAGCAGCUUUUGUUCUGAUGUCUAUAUCGUUUGUAACUUUGUAUGCAUUGCAUUUUGGUGACAUUUGUAAGUAGUAUAUUUUAUUCUUCAAUAUCUCAUACUUAUUAAGAGUGUGGUGUAUUGAUCUCCUUGUUCU